RNAcentral lists this ribosomal RNA (756 nucleotides) under uncultured Tomentella. Its description in RNAcentral is "eukaryotic LSU rRNA". The stretch from base 241 to 395 matches the Rfam family "5.8S ribosomal RNA". The record is from RNAcentral. Lineage: Eukaryota; Fungi; Basidiomycota; Agaricomycetes; Thelephorales; Thelephoraceae.
UUCGUUCGCAUAGAAGCAGUGUCCUGCGGAGGAUCAUUACCGAAUUAGUCAACACGAGUUGUUGCUGGUCCUCGAACGGGGGCACGUGCACGCUCUGUUUACAUAUCCACUCACACCUGUGCACCCUCUGUGGUUCUAUGGCUUGGGGGGCUCUGUCCUCCUGUCGUGGUUCUACGUCUUUACACACACUCUGGAAUAAAGUCUCAUGGAAUGUAUGCCGCGUUUAACGCAAUACAAUACAACUUUCAGCAACGGAUCUCUUGGCUCUCGCAUCGAUGAAAAACGCAGCGAAAUGCGAUAAGUAAUGGGAAUUGCAGAAUUCAGUGAAUCAUCGAAUCUUUGAACGCACCUUGCGCCCUUUGGCUAUUCCGAAGGGCAUGCCUGUUUGAAUAUCAUGAACACCUCAACUCUCAUGGUUUGCCAUGAUGAACUUGGACUUUGGGGGUCUUGCCGGCCUGGGGUCGGCUCCUCUCAAAUGAAUCAACUUCCCAGUGUUUGGUGGCGUCCCAGGUGUGAUAACUAUCUACGCUUGUGGUUUUCCACCAAAAAACCUUCAGUGAUGGAGGUUCGCUGGAGCUCAUAAACGUCUCUCCUCAGCGAAGACCGCUCUGUGAACGUUUGAUCUCAAAUCAGGUAGGACUACCCGCUGGACUUAAGCAUAUCAAUAAGUGGAGGGAUUAUUUCUGGUCAAAUAUCGGGGGAAAACUCUCUAAAAUUUAUAAUAUAUAUGUAGGCGAAAAAAUUAUAAGAGUCGGG